GUAUAAUGGUCGGUGGAAGGCUGGUUAAACCGUUUGGUUUUCGACCACUAGGACCCGGGUUCGAUUCCCGCAUUGGACA
RNAcentral lists this transfer RNA (79 nucleotides) under Cordylochernes scorpioides. RNAcentral describes it as "tRNA-Glu". The record is from RNAcentral. Lineage: Eukaryota; Metazoa; Arthropoda; Arachnida; Pseudoscorpiones; Chernetidae.